CACCAUCAUAGAACUCCCCGCCUGUGAAGUCUACUUUGGUUUCGAAACAAAUCUCUUUGAAAGCAUCGACCACCACCUGAACACGAGAAUGAUCCAAAUCGACAGCCACCGCCCUUCCAAUCGCCUCACCAAUGCUCUCAAAAGUGGGUACUGUUUUGAACUCCACCGGAACUCCUAUAACUCGAACCCAAAAGGUUAUCUCCGACGGGUAGAGCGAGGACUUCUUAGGUUGCCAGCGCGCCAAGGAAAACAUCCAGUAAUCAAAAUGAAAGGAUUGAAGCUUAAGAACCCCCUCUAUGUCCUCCUCCUUAUCGAAGUCAAACUGAAACUUACCAAAACCCAAAUCUGAACCAACUACCCUCUC
Molecule: long non-coding RNA, 364 nt
Filed under: Brassica napus (rape)
Lineage: Eukaryota; Viridiplantae; Streptophyta; Magnoliopsida; Brassicales; Brassicaceae
Description: long non-coding RNA (BNAP_LNC026528)
Source: RNAcentral